GAGUUUGAUCUUGGCUCAGGGUGAACGCUGGCGGCGUGCUUAAGACAUGCAAGUCGAACGGUCCCUUCGGGGAUAGUGGCGCACGGGUGAGUAACGCGUAACUGACCUACCCCAAAGUCGCGGAUAACGAUUCGAAAGAAUCGCUGAUACGUGAUGUGCUGUCAGAUUGUGUUCUGCCAGUAAAGAUUUAUUGCUUUGGGAUGGGGUUGCGUUCCAUCAGCUAGUUGGUGGGGUAAAGGCCUACCAAGGCGACGACGGAUAGCCGGCCUGAGAGGGUGGCCGGCCACAGGGGCACUGAGACACGGGUCCCACUCCUACGGGAGGCAGCAGUUAGGAAUCUUCCACAAUGGGCGAAAGCCUGAUGGAGCGACGCCGCGUGAGGGACGAAGGUCUUCGGAUUGUAAACCUCUGAAUCAGGGACGAAAGACGCGUAAGCGGGAUGACGGUACCUGAGUAAUAGCACCGGCUAACUCCGUGCCAGCCGCCGCAGU
RNAcentral lists this ribosomal RNA (491 nucleotides) under uncultured Deinococci bacterium. RNAcentral's name for it is "bacterial SSU rRNA". It matches the Rfam family "Bacterial small subunit ribosomal RNA", at positions 9 to 521 of the family's 1533-position model. Lineage: Bacteria; Thermotogati; Deinococcota; Deinococci. The record is from RNAcentral.